Molecule: ribosomal RNA, 253 nt
Filed under: uncultured bacterium
Lineage: Bacteria
Description: partial 16S ribosomal RNA
Rfam family: Bacterial small subunit ribosomal RNA
Source: RNAcentral
UACGUAGGUGGCGAGCGUUGUCCGGAUUUACUGGGCGUAAAGAGCGCGCAGGCGGUCGUUCAAGUCGGAUGUGAAAGCCCCCGGCUCAACUGGGGAGGGUCAUUCGAUACUGAUCGACUCGAAGGCAGGAGAGGGAAGCGGAAUUCCCGGUGUAGUGGUGAAAUGCGUAGAUAUCGGGAGGAACACCAGUGGCGAAGGCGGCUUCCUGGCCUGUUCUUGACGCUGAGGCGCGAAAGCUAGGGGAGCAAACAGG